AAAGGCAUAAGCCGGCUUAACUGCAAGACUUACAAGUCGCGCAGAUGCGAAAGCAGAACUUAGCGACCCGACGGCUCUUUAUAGAAAGGCCGGAGAUAUCGGACAAAAGUUACCCCGGGGAUAACAGGCUGGUUUCGUCCGAGCGUCCACAGCGACGACGAAGCUCGGCACCUCGAUGUCGGCUCACCCUAGCUCGGGGCUGAAGAAGGUCCCAAGAGUUUGGCUGUUCGCCAAUUAAAAGGGUACGCGAGCUGGGUUCAAACCGUCAGCGGAACCAAUAACAUCGAGUAUCGCAACGGCGGCUCAGGAAAGUAAUUUCCUGAUGAUAAGUUGACUCAUAUCG
RNAcentral lists this ribosomal RNA (343 nucleotides) under Patescibacteria group bacterium. RNAcentral's name for it is "partial 23S ribosomal RNA". It matches the Rfam family "Bacterial large subunit ribosomal RNA", at positions 2353 to 2642 of the family's 2925-position model. The record is from RNAcentral.